RNAcentral lists this ribosomal RNA (501 nucleotides) under uncultured bacterium. RNAcentral's name for it is "partial 16S ribosomal RNA". It matches the Rfam family "Bacterial small subunit ribosomal RNA", at positions 30 to 523 of the family's 1533-position model. The record is from RNAcentral.
AUUGAACGCCGGCGGCAGGCUUAACACAUGCAAGUCGAGCGGGGGAAGGUAGCUUGCUACUGGACCUAGCGGCGGACGGGUGAGUAAUGCUUAGGAAUCUGCCUAUUAGUGGGGGACAACAUCUCGAAAGGGAUGCUAAUACCGCAUAAGUCCUACGGGAGAAAGCAGGGGAUCUUCGGACCUUGCGCUAAUAGAUGAGCCUAAGUCGGAUUAGCUAGUUGGUGGGGUAAAGGCCUACCAAGGCGACGAUCUGUAGCGGGUCUGAGAGGAUGAUCCGCCACACUGGGACUGAGACACGGCCCAGACUCCUACGGGAGGCAGCAGUGGGGAAUAUUGGACAAUGGGGGGAACCCUGAUCCAGCCAUGCCGCGUGUGUGAAGAAGGCCUUAUGGUUGUAAAGCACUUUAAGCGAGGAGGAGGCUACUCUAGUUAAUACCUAGGGAUAGUGGACGUUACUCGCAGAAUAAGCACCGGCUAACUCUGUGCCAGCCGCCGCUGUAA